GUCCCCCAACAUUUCCACCAAAACACCCUCCACAUGUAAAGCCACCUUUCCACCCCAAACCACCGCAUCACAAGCCACCCCAUGUCAAACCACCGCACAAGCCCCCGUAUGUUCCUAAACCACCUUAUUCCCCAAGCCCUAAACCGCCUUACGUGCCAAAACCACCUCAUACUCCAGUCCCUAGGCCACCAUAUUUCCCCAAACCACCUUACACACCAAGGCCUAAGCCACCAUAUGCGCCAAAACCACCUUAUACGCCAACCCCUAAGCCACCAUAUUUCCCCAAACCACCUUACACACCAAGGCCGAAGCCACCAUAUGUGCCAAAACCACCUUAUACGCCAGCCCCUAAGCCACCAUAUUUUCCCAAACCACCUUACACACCAAGGCCUAAGCCACCAUAUGCACCAAAACCACCUUAUACGCCAACACCUAAGCCACCAUAUUUCCCCAAACCACCUUACACACCAAGGCCUAAGCCACCGUACGUGCCAAAACCACCGUACACACCAAGGCCUAAGCCACCGUACGUGCCAAAACCACCAUACACACCAACCCCUAAGCCACCGUACGUGCCAAAACCACCUUACACCCCAACCCCUAAGCCACCGUACGUGCCAAAACCACCGUAUACCCCAACUCCUAAGCCACCGUACGUCCCAUCGCCACCUUAUACCCCUCGCCCUAAACCACCGUAUGUACCAUCACCACCUUAUACCCCUAGCCCUAAACCACCGUAUGUGCCAUCACCACCAUAUACCCCAAGCCCUACCCCACCAUAUGUACCAUCACCACCGUAUACCCCAAGCCCACCAUAUGUACCAUCACCACCGUAUACCCCAAGCCCUAGCCCACCACCACCACCAAGUGGAACACCGUGUCCUCCGCCGCCGCCACCAAAGGUGAGACCGUACCCUCCACCACCAUCACAAACUUGUCCCAUUGAUACUCUCAAGCUUGGUGCAUGCGUCGACGUGUUGGGCGGUCUAAUACACAUCGGUAUAGGCAGCAGUGCAAAGGACGCUUGCUGCCCCGUGCUGCAGGGGCUACUGGACUUGGAUGCUGCAUUAUGUCUUUGCACCACCAUUAAACUUAAGCUUUUGAAUAUCAAUCUUAUUAUACCGAUCGCCCUUGAAGUGCUUAUUGACUGCGGCAAGCAUCCGCCGCCCGGAUUCCAGUGUCCUGCCUAAUUGGUGACGCUUUCCAGCCAUGCAAUUGAUGAAUGCGACUUGUUUGUUUUGGAGAUUUUGUCAAAGAUAAUGACAUGUAAGUGCAUAAAGUGGAAGUACUUCAUGAUAUCGAAGUUUGUCUUAAUAUAUGUUUUGUUCCUCUUGUGCAUAUCAAACCAAUUAUCUUUGGAGCAAAAUCUAUGUUUUGAUGGAUCCAUACUAUCUGCAAGUUUGGGAUCAUGGGGUGUCAAAUAAUCGCUUAUUUGACCCAAAUUUUAUUUGAGUUGUCCAAUUAGUUGUAACCAUCAAAUAAUUUAUUAUCACACAUAAUUUUGAGAGUAAAUUCUCAAUUGACCAUUAAAAAAAAUAAUCACAACCGACAAAUUCAAAACAGAUACUAUCAUCGUGGAAAGAAAUAUUAAUUAUGCAUUUGGAUUCUGAUAUAAGAUACGCUGAUCUUUUGAUGAUAUCCAUUUUCGCGCCUACAUAAUUCAGAUUCAACCACAAUUUUAUUGUUAUCCAAUAGCUAUUAAUAAAAUAUUAUAUUAAAAAAAAGCACAAAACUUGACCGGCACUGAAUUUAUAUUCAUUGAUUAUACUAAUGGAACCUUUCAUUUGAUGAAUUUAAUUGUUCAAUGAAAAAUAACUAGCUGAAACAGUUGAAGACGGGGUGAUUUCUCACCUCGAAAAGAGAGAGAAUUCCCCCAAAGUGCCGCUUGAUAGGAUUUGAUUUAAUUUAAUUUAAUUUAAUUUUAUGCCUUGCCCUUAAAUAAUGUGGAGUAGAGAUUGCUCUUAUUAUUGAUUCAAAAUCAUUAGAUAUGCAUUAUUAUAAAAACUUUAUAGUAAUUAUUCAAUGAAAGAGAAUUAUUAUUAAUAUCAUUUUCUUUCCAGACUGAUUAAUCAAUGAUUGUUUUGCAGGAAUGGAGCAUUAUAUGAAUUUCAGUCCAAUAACAUUUAAACAGCUCUCUUUAAGAAUGAAUUUGAGUUUUAGGCUACACAAGAUAAUCUGCCGUAUCCCUUGAUUUAACAUUCUAGUUAUUAAUUGUACGUACACAAAAAAAAAAAAAAAUCAUGGAGUGAUUGAUUUUUCCCAAACAGUUAUACUGUAGAUCAUUAAAGAAAAUAUAAAAAAAUAAAAGUUGAAACGAGUGGCCUAAACAGUAAACUUUGGGUGAAAGUUACAGAUAAUAUUUAAUUACGAUGGAGUUUUUUUUCCCCCCUUUUUUGCAUUUCUGAAACGUGUUGCCUGAUUUAACAGAGAAAAGGGAAAAUUUGAUGGUUGACACUUGGUAAUGAUUUAUAAGUAAUUUAAGGAUUUUUCUAUAAUGCUGUAUGUACUUUUACAGCAUUAAUAGUGCAGUUAUUAUAAACCCUUUGAUUUGAGUGAUUUAAUCUUAGUCAUUUAUUUAAUAUAAUAAAUAAAUAAGUAAUUAAUUAAAAGCUAGCAAGUAACUUGUAAGUUGUAGGUAAAUAUUAGUUUUUUAAUUUUAAAUUAAUAUUAACUUUAUAGCAUUUAAUAUAAGUUAUCAGAACGAGAUGCAUGUAAUCCAAGUUGAUCAUCGAGUUCAUGAUCAUGACCCUGCUGCUUGGUCAAUUGAGAUCUUUCCGACAGUACCACAUGAAAAUUCAUUUUGUCGAGGAGCUGCUGAAGUUGUACAGGAAGAAACAGAAUCCAAUCUCUCUAGUCCGACCGGUACAUUUCUCCAGGUCGCCGCCCACCAGGGUCUGGCCGCGUUGGCAGUCGAAUUUGGCGGUGGCAUUCUCUGCUGGAGAACGGGAAAAUUCUCUUGUGCUCCGUGGAACUCUGUAGUGCAGCUGGAUUCAUUGCUUGCUGUGGUGGUUAUAUCUUAGAACGUAGAGGCAAAGCUAAAUUGGCUUGCUCAGAUUAUGACAGGAGUGGGAGGUGUUGCCACUGCCAGUAGAUUUAUAAAUGGUAUGAAAAAACUACAUUAAUAACUGUGCAAGAUCAUGUGAGAAGGAACCCGUCGAGCUGGAGAUGAUCAAAUCAAGGAAGGCAUUGAAGGGCGAGGCGGAGAGAAGGAGAACAGAAUCAGAGGCUGAGAUGACUCAGAUGACGAUGCAAACUCAAUUGCAGAUCGUCCUUUGUUGAGGGGAUGAAUUCGAGUCGAAAGAGGAAGCGCGAUGAAGAAGACGAAUCACGAGUUUCUCAGAGGUAAAAUUCUUGAACAUGUCAAUGGUUAAUCAUUCAGGAACUUGAGACACUCUUUAAGAAUCCAAUUUCCUUCAAGAACAUGAGAGAAAAAACCGAUGGUUAAAUUUAUGAGAUAAAUAAAGAGAUUUUAUUUUAUCAAAUUUUUUAUCUCUUUUUUAAUCUAAAACAACCUUUUCAACCGGUUUGUUAACCGAUUAUAGUAUUUUUUAAAUGAUUAAAUUUUUCAUUAAUAAAAAUAAUGUGUACCGUUGAUUAGAUCUAAUGGCAUAUAUUUCUUACACUAUUGAUGCUGUAAAAAAAAUUACGGUAUCAUAAAGGGACUCGUAAUUUAAUCCUAAGUGUUUAGGGAGAGCAGUGACCUCUUGAAAAAUCCUCUUGUUACACUUUUUUUUUUCAUUUUUUUCUACUCCUUUAUUUAUUUAUUUUAAAUCCUUAAUUAAUUAUAAUACAUAUAUAUAUUUUUUUUUCCAAAAAAGUUUCUAUCAAAUUGAUAACAUGUAGAUACACAAUGUCAGAAGGAUUUCUAUCCUUGGUAUCAGUCAUUGUGGAACAAUUCAAAUGAAUAUACAGACAACGAGAAAGAGGUAUCAAUACCCCCUCAGAUUUCUCACAAUUACUAACACAUGCGAGGAUUGCUUUUAUUAUUAACAGUUACAAACCCCCUCUAAAUGGAGUUAGCUCUUUUCGAUAGCGGAAAGCAGUGGUAUUACCAUCGUGGUGGGGCAAAAUUUAGAAACUGUAUUUAGGAUAGACUACGAUAAAAAUAUAAAAAGACAUCAACUUUUUCAAGAAAACGGGCGACGAGCUAGUUUGGUUGGGAAUACUAUAAUUUUUAAAAUAAUUGUAAUUAGUAUUACAGUAAAAAUUAUUAAUUAUGAAGAAAAUCAAUUAAAUAUUUAAUAAAAUUUAUUUUUUAAAAAUGUUAUGAGUUAUAAAAGCAGUCAUAUAUAUUUAGUAAAUUUAACUGUUAAACUACUGUAAGAAUAUAAAUGAUUGAAUUAGAUGUUAAGAAAAAUGUAUUUAGAUAUUUAUAAACAUGUAUAUAUAUAUAUAUAUAUAUUAUUGUGUAUACAUAAUAAUUGAUAACUAGAAAUAAAUAUUUUAUAUUAUUAAUUUUAUUUUUAUCUUGUUAUCUCAAUAUAAUUGGUAAUAAUAAUAAUCUCUUUAAAGUUAAUGAUUUUAUUACCUAAUUAAUAAGGAUAAUUUUAGAUUUUUAUAAUUUAUAUAAGGAUACAUAUGAAAUUGUAUACAAUAUAAAGUUGAUUUUCAAAAUCAAAUUUUAAAAAGCUACUCAUUUCUUACUUUUCAAGUGCAUCCGAAAAAUUGGAUAUUUGGAUCUGGUUAAAUUUUAUUUUAAAUUAAAAACUAAAUUAAAAAUAUUUAUUAAAAUUAAAUUAAAAAUUAAAAAUUAAAAUUUAUUUGUCAAUUUAUGUUGUUGUUGUAUGCUAUUCAUGUUGAAUUAUUAAUUGUUGAAUUAUGAUUGAAUUUUAUUUGAUAUUAUUAGGUAAAUUAUUGAAGGUUAUUUUAAAUUAAAAGUAAAUAUUAAAAAUUAAAUUGUAUUUGUGGAUCUUUAUGAUGUUGUUGUAUGUUACUCAUGUUUAAUUAUUAGUUGUUGAAUUAUGAUUGAAUUUUAUUAGGCAAAUUAUUGAAUUUUUAAAUUAUAUGUUAAAUUAUUGAAUUAUGACUUUUGCAGAUCUAGAUAUCCAAAAUAUCUGCCCACAUCUGUUGCGGAUAUAACCUGUAUCCGGAUUCACAUAUUUUUUUGCGGAUUCAGAUGUAGAUCCAAAUGUAGAAAUGUAAUGCAGAUAUAGAUGCAGAUGCACCUAUAUCAGGAUUCGGAUCCAGAUUUUGUCAACCCUAUUUCCCGCACUUUAAAAUUCUAGACCAAAAAACUACUAAUAUAUAUAGGGAAUAAUCUUUGAGUGAUAAUUAUAGAUUAUAAGAUUGUGGGGCUUUGAUUUUUUUUAAAAUUAUAUAAGUGUUUAGUUGAAUUUUUAUUGAAAAAAAUAAUUUUAACUUGGGUUAUUUAUGUAUUUUCAAUUGAAUAGGGGUUUAUAAAUACUUUUGUGGGGGUGUUACUAACAAUACUUCUUUUUCUUUUGGGGCGUGGGGCGUGGGGCGUGGGCUAUAAGUAUGGGUCAUGGCGAUCUAGCAUGUCCUCAUUGGCACCCUAAAAAAAUCCUCUUAGAAAUUUCAUUUUCAAUUAUAUUCUAUUUAGUGGUAAAGAUAAUAUUUUUUUCCCAUUAAAUAGACACUAAUUUCAUUUAUAAAUAUCUCAAGUUUUAAUAAUUUUCUCACUCUUGAAGUCUUAAUAUUUGUAUUCUUCUCUUCAAACUUUCUUUAUUAUUUAAUUUCUAUAAAAAAAUCUAAAAGAGAAAAAGUAAGAAAAACCUUAUACUUAGAAAAAGUAAGAAAAAGCUUAUUAUACAUAUAAGCUUUGGGUGGAGCGAUUAGUUUGAGAAUCCUCAAAAUUAUUUGAAGUGGGAUAAAAUUUUAUUUAGAGUAAUGAUAUAGUCACAAACUCUUGUACAAACUUAUUUUGUACACACUGAUGUGGCACGAUAAAAUUGGCUAAAUUAAAUAUCUCUUGACCCACAUGAUUUAUUUCUAUUAUUUUAUAUUUUCAUUCAACUAAUGAAUUAAUACCACAUCAGUUUGUGCAAAAUAAGUUUGUACAAGAAUUUGUGACUGUAUCAUCACUCUUUUAUUUAAUUUAUUUUCCAUUAUGUUGUAUCCUAAUUUGGUUGCUAUGUUUAUUACAAGAAUUUUGUUUUCGAUUAUAGAAUUACUAUGCAAGUAAAGUAAGUUGCAAAGAGAGAGAGAAAAUGUAAGUGGGUUAAUCUUAAUUCUAUUAAUAUUUGUCCUUAAAUAUGUAAUAUAAUAUAAGCAGAGUUUUAUGAGAUUAAUAAAGGGAUGCCAAUAGUCGACUGGUUAGGCGGGACCCCUACCUGUAAUAUAAAUCAUAAAAUGAAGCGAAUACACAAGGAGGGGGACAUAAACCAAAACCUCAAAGAGUAACUAAAAAUACACACGAAUAACUAAAAAAGAAUAAAGACAACAAAAAGAAAAGGAAAACCAUAAAUGCCAGCAUCUUAUGUGAGAAACAAUCUAUGCAUCCAAAUGGAGAAUACCAGAUAAGUCUGUAGGAAGAUCUUAAGGACAUAAGAAACACUGACUAGAUGAGACCAUGCCCAAUUGACCAAAAAAUUAGCAGCAGAGGUAGCCUUAUGAAACAGUCAGCUCUUAUAGUUUAUACAUGAGCCAACCUACUAAAUUUUUCAUUCAAUGUUAAACUUAUCUUGCCAAUUAUGCCAAUGACACAAUCUUGGGCGUUUAUAUAAUUUCAAUAAGAGUGAUAAAAGAUUUUGAUUGCAACAAAGUAUUUAUACAUAUUGUAUUUAUAUCAAUUAAUUGAGUAAUGACUCUAGCAUGGUUUGAACCCUCCCGACUAUAUAUAUAUAUAUAUAUAUAUAUAUAUAUAUAUAUAUAUAUAUAUAUAUAUAUAUAUAUAUAUAGAAAUGUUUAAAUCCAGAAUUUUAAAGUGCGGAAACGUCCGGGAAAAUGUAUAAACCGUGCGGUUUAAGCGCUUUAAGUUUUCCCGGACUUUUCCCGCACUUUAUGAUCCCGGAUAAAAAAACUACUAUAUAUAUAUAUAUAUAUAUAUAUAUAUAUAUAUAUAUAUAUAAGAGUGCUGGUAUAACAAUAUUGUAUAAUAAAUAUUUAAUUAGUUUAACAUUCGUAUUUAAUAACCACCAAUAAAAGUCUUGCAUUUUGAUUAGAUAAGGUAUAAAAGGGUUGCAGUUUUUAUUUCAUAUUGUAAUGAUAGUACUUUUAAAAUACAGUAUAAAAAUAAGGAUUAGAUUCCUCUCCUGGUUUAAGCAUUCAUGACCUUUUAAUAAUCUUAUUCCAUAUGUCAUGUAGUAAUAGUGUAUGGAUAGAAUAUAUUUUAAAUUUAUUAACCACCAAUGAACACAUAAAUUUUUAUUUAGAAGAAGUUCAAAUCAACAGAUUUUAAUCCGUGAACAUAAUAGAGAUCGAAGAGAAACUACAACUCAAAUAAGAAAAAAAGCCUUACAACUUCAUUUAACAAAUAUUAAAAAAGCCUUACAACUUCAUUUAAUAAAUAUUAAAAAAGCCUUACAACAUUUAUAUUAGAUUCACGAGCAACAAGGGAUCAAUAUUGAACAUGACAUGCAAUUAUUACAUCGAGACAUGAAUGUGUCUUCAAGUAUUAUACGAACUUGAAGCUCUCACACGUUAUUGUUAUUCUUUUAUGAGAAAAUAAACGAAACUAGUAACAUAUAAAAUAUUAAUAUGGUCAAUUAAUAUAUAUAUGUAUGUAUGUAUAUUUCCCUCAGAAACUGCAUAUGCGUGGGGCGUCACCAAUUAAUUAAUGGGUGGACACUGAAAUCCUGCUGGCGGAUACUUGCCACAGUCGUUGACAAGUACUUGCAGGGAGAUGGGUACGAGAAGAUUGAUGAGAUUUGGAGCCUUAAUUCUAAUGGCAGUGCAAAGACAUAUUGCAGCAUCCAAAUCUACUAGCCCAUGAAGCAAUGGGCAGCAUUUCUCCUUAGCACUGUCGCCAAGACCAAUGUGAAUUAAACCACCAAGAACAUCGACACAUGCACUAAGCUUGAGAGCAUUAAUGGGACAAGUUUUUUGUUGUUUUGGUGGCGGUGGGUAUCUCACGUUUGGUGGUGUUGGUGGCGAUUUUACAACUGGAGGAGGAGUUGGUUUUUCCUUUGGCGGUGGUGGUGGUUUCACAACUGGAGGAGGAGGAGUACUGGGUUUCACCUUUGGUGGUGGUGGUGGUUUUACAACUGGAGGAGGAGGAGUGGUUUUCACCUUUGGUGGGGGUGGUGGUUUUACAGCUGGAGGAGGAGGAGUUGGUUUCACUUUUGGUGGUCGGGGCGGCGGCUUAGGGCUCGGCGAAUGAGGCGGUGGGGGACAAUUUGGUGAAGAAGGAGGAGGAGGGGUUGGUUUGGAGCAGUCACAAGCUAAAGAAGAGAGCAAAGCACCCGAGUUCAGGAGGACAAUCAAGAAACUAGUUAAUUGAUAUUUGCCCAUGAUGAAAUAAUUUCGAAACUCUCUAAUGAACUAGCUAGCUAGGGUUUGGAAUGCAUUCACUAUUGAAUGAGUGCCUUUUUAUAGAGAGUAAGAAGUUUUGGAUUUUUAAAAUUUUUCAGUUUUAAUUCGUUGAUCCAUAGACUUAAGGGCAAAGUACAACCCAAGCCAACUCACGAAUGGACAGAUAGACAGACAUUAUAUAUUUUUUUCUUUAAUGCUUGGAACAUGGGAUUGAUUAUCGUUUUAAGGAAGAAGACUCGAUUGAUUAUUUAACCAAAAAGUUGGUAUAGUUAAUUAAGCGUAUUGUUCUUAUAAUUUGAAACGUAAAAUUUGCAAUUAAUCUCUAGCAAAUGCAAAACUUAAAACUCUAAUAUAACUUCUGCAUUAGAAUUUCGAAGGGCGUGGGGACCUGUACUCUCAAUUUCACAUGAAUAUUUGCAAGCUGUUCAAUCAUUGAAGACGAAUGCAAGCAACAAGCAUCUUGCGGGGACACUUCUUCAUUUUUCUUUGGGCCGUUACAUGAUAACAAUAUUUAUAGUUAUAUUAUUAGCCCAUUAACUAAUCUUAAUAUUAGAUAUUUUAACCUAUUAACUAAUCUUAAUAUGAGAUAUUUUUGUUAGUAUUUUUUACUAGUCCUUGUCAUGUAUAAAAUAGACCCACUAGUACACAAGUAAGAGUCUAUCUCAUGUAAAAAUUAACUCAAGAGUUGAGAGUUGUCUCAAGUUUAUAUUUAAUUCAAUAAGUUUUCUCAACCUAUCUGAGAUUUUUUCCUUAUCAUCCCCAUCACUUGCAAACCAAUAUAUCUUUUGUUUUUUUGGUCUUUAUCAUGCGGAAAAAUACAUAGUAUGUGCCAACUUGUGCAUAACUAUGAAUCUAAUACCAUAUAAAGGUAUGUGAGUCUAAUUCAUACUCUAAAAUUAGCUCAAGAGUUAAGGAUUACCUCUAAUUUAUAUUACUAGUUCAGUAACUAAUCUCAGCAUAUGGUGGCUCCACCAGAGGAAAGUGUUAUGCACCUAUAUACAUAAAUUAUAAUGAGUAAAAUUAUUCAUGAUGAUACAACCACAUUAAUGAAUAAUCAGUAGUAAUUGAACCAUGAAAGUGUCAUUCUUCGUUUAAGGGUGCCUUUGACAUAUUGUUUGCACACACAAAAAAAAAAAAAAAAGCGCUCAAAAAAGCCCCAAUUAAGGAUGUCCAUUGUACCCACAUAUGUCAGCAUAUGUGAGUUCUGAAACUCUUCAAAAAAAUACCUUUAUAUUAUUCGGAGUAUAAAUUUAUCUUGGAGAGUUUGGAGCAGAUUUGAUUUGGGUUUUCGUAAAAUUUAAUAUUCAAACAACUACUACUUCUUUAAAAGCAUAAAUAAACAAAUAAAUAAGGUGAUUAAUUUUUGUUUAAUUAGUGUGGUCAUUAAUUAUAGCGAUAUUGAAAUUUUAAUGCAUGAUCUUCUAAGAUUUGUUUUAGUUUUGAGAUUUCAGAUCAUAGUUGUUUGAUUUAUAUUUUAUUAUUUUGUGUUUUCAAAUCUUCGUGUAAAAAUGUCAACUACGCUUGCGCAAAUCUUGCUUUGUCCAUCUUUAAAAGAUCUGAAGAAGCUUCGAUUGCUCCCAAACUUUUAGAAAGAAUUCAAAAAUAUUAAUAUAUACCGCAUGAUAUGCGCUCACUGUUUAGAAAAAAAAUGUACUGCUAGAGUUUAUUUUUAAAUAUUCUCAAACUGCAUUCUGUUUUCUUACUAUAUUUUGGGAAAAUCAGUAUAAUUGAGAUGCGAAUAAGGUCGACAAUUAUACUAUUAAAAUGCAGUACAUGUGUUAUUUACGCAUUGCUUAUCUAAAUAGUUUGUUUUAUUUGCGCAUUGUUUAUAUAUAUAUAUAUUUAUUUAUUUAUUUAUUUAUUUAUUUAUCUAUAAUGUAUAACGAGGAUUCCCAAUCUUUUAAAUAUAAUAAAUAUGAAAAAUCGUUCUUCGUUUCUUGCAUGGCCAUUUUAAUAAAGCAGGUUAAGUUUAGGGAUGGCAAAAUCCUCCACGGGUUUGGGGCCCCAUGGAGCCCCACCCCAAAUGGAGAAAUUUUUUAGUAAUUUUUGGGGAAUGGGGUGGGGAAUGGGGGAAAAGUAAUCCCCAAAUUGUUAACGGGGUGGGGUUUGGUAUUGCACUCCCCACCCCACUCCCACCCCAAUCCCCAUUAUAUAUAAAUAUGUUUUUAAUUCUUAUUUAAUAAUUUGUAUUUUAUCAACUAUAAUGUCAAUUAAUGAUUUUUUUUAAUUUUUAUGUAAUAUAAAUAAAAUAUGAAUAAAAGAAAAUUCUACAAUAUUUUUCAACUUUAAAACAUUAAUAUAUUUUCUUUUCUCUUUUAAGGUGCUGCUUUCUUUAAAUAUUUUUCACUUUUAAUAUCAUUUUAAGAUAUUGUUUCAAAUUUUUAGAGAUUUUUUUUUAAAAUUAAAUACUUUAUAAUAUUGUGAUGAUUUUAUCUUAAGUCUCUAAUUUUUAAUUUACUGAAAUCAUAUUUUUAUAUCUACUAUAAAAUAUGUAAAUGGGGAAUGGGGUGGGGAUGGGGGAAUCAUUCCCCACGUGGGGAUUCCCCAUCCCCAACCCACUAAAUUUAUUGGGGAAUGGAGGCAAAAAUUUUUAAUGGGGUAGGCAUCCCCACCCCCACCCCGCC
Molecule: long non-coding RNA, 11054 nt
Filed under: Citrus maxima (pomelo)
Lineage: Eukaryota; Viridiplantae; Streptophyta; Magnoliopsida; Sapindales; Rutaceae
Description: long non-coding RNA (CMAX_LNC002831)
Source: RNAcentral